Molecule: transfer RNA, 77 nt
Filed under: Botrimarina mediterranea
Lineage: Bacteria; Pseudomonadati; Planctomycetota; Planctomycetia; Pirellulales; Lacipirellulaceae
Description: Planctomycetes bacterium Spa11 tRNA-Gln
Source: RNAcentral
UCGACGCCCGGCCGGAGGGGACGCCCGACGCGCCUCUGGUGGGCGUGUACCGGCGGUUCAUCGCCACCGGCGCCAAG